UACCGUUUCGAAACGGUAUGAUUAGUCAUAUUGUGUUAUGAGCCAUUACGAGGUCGUGGAAAAUAAGGUGGCGGUCCGUCGCGUAGUGAUUUCAACGGGUCUAGAAAAUUCACGCGGCUCUCUUUAUUUCCCGAUAAGAAAUUAAUUCGAAACUCGGUCCAUUUCGAAUUUCGAAAGGUUACGAACACGAUUACGAAUUUUGGUAUUGAACCGUGAAGGUUUUCCCUUUCGAGGAACAACUGGUAACAAAUUGCCGAUCAAUUUUGUUAUGACGGGUACCGAAUAAAGGGGUAAGAAGCCCUCUGCGUGGAGAGGGAAUACACGUUUCAAUUCGAAUCACGCGGUGCCCUCGAGCUCAACAAUGGCCUAUUCUUUGAGCGGGGGAUACGAGGAGGGGAAAAAUCAAGGGGGAAUAAUCACCCCUCGUAUAAAUAUAGGUCACGAUAGAAACAGCGUUGGAUAAGCUGUGUGUUGACCGACGACGUGAACGUAGAAUGAAAUCACUCGUGCGGAUUUAUCUGGAGAGAGAAAGAGAGAGAAAGAGAGAGAGAGAAUAGAAUAAAUUUUGAGAUAAAAAUGUGUUAAUCUAUAUCUAUACUUUUUUGGAAAUGGUAUAUAUGUUCUUUUCGUUGGAGAAAUGAAUCGACGAUAAAAAGCUUUUGAGAAAGCUUCGAAGAUGUAUUCGACAAAUAUUGAAAGAGAGAAAGAAAAAAAAAAAAAGAAAUAGGAAACGAGAUUAAAAUUAUCAAAUGUUCGUUUGCUUCUAAUUCAUUCGCUAUCUCUUGAGAAAGUUUCAAUCAUUCUUCAAAAAGAUCUGGAUGUAAUUUUAAAUAACAAUAUUAAAAAUAAUUUUAUCAACCAUCAACGAUAUUUGUUAUUCGAUAAGCGGUGUAUUUCGACCGAUGAUACGUUCUUUAUUUGAUCAAUUAAGGCAAUUAUUUGAAAGAACGAUAAAUUAAAAUAAUUUGAGAAAAUGAUAUAUAAUGAUAUAAAACAGGAAUAAUGUAAACGUUCCAAAAGAAAUCAAUUAUUUUCAUCAAAAUCAAAUUUAAUCAUUCUCAAAUAAUGUAUAUAUAUAUAUAUAUAAAAUAAUAAUAAAUUUAAAUAUAACUUGAAAAUCCCUCUGGUAACCAGAACUUAGAAUCUAAAGCUCCAGUCAUGGGUAGGGUCCGGUAUUGCGAUCUUUUAUAUGCGUUCCACGAACACCAUGCCUCUAAUAGAAUUUCCCCUUACAAAGCGGCGACGGGAACAAAGUGUGCUCGUUUGUUUGCCUCGAUUCACUUUCGCUCUAUCAACCGACAUCGAGUCUCUCGAUAUAUUAUCGGGGAAAUUUGGGCUCUCAAAAAAUUUGAAAACCAUUUCCACAAUUGAAGGGAUCGUUGGAAAACGACACGAUAAAUUUGUAUAUAAUUCACGAAUAAACGAUCUCUGUGUGAUCGAUAGGAAAAAAAAAAAAAAAAAAAAGGCAGAUGAUUGGAAAAUCAAAAAUACAAAAGUGGUGAUAAUAUUUUUCUGAUAAUCCUUUUAUGUAUUUAAAUAUUUUCACCGUUAUAUACCCGAUAUAUACUCCGAUCCUGAAGGAUUGUAUUAGACGAUAAGGAGGAGGUUGAAAAGAAGGGAUGGCCGAUGUUUCCUUUUAACGAUCCCAGAACACCCAUUCUACCGGAAACGAAACGUGUUUCUACGGUCUGGAAUCAGUCAAUUUUCUCUUUUCGAGGAUCAUAAAGGUCCGCUGCGACCGGCUGCGAGAUUCUUUCUCUCGAGCCGUCGAGUCGAGGCAUUAUUACUCGUGAGGCACGCAAUUUCAGACGAGCCACGUCCUUCCUCGGGGACCUUUUAUUAUUCCGUUGACACAUGGCCCGCAAUCACUUCUGCACCCUUCCACACACAGUCACGGCUGACUUCGUGACGGGUGCGCGCGGGGAAGGGAUCUCGGUCGUUCGCGGCUCAACCAUCAUAGACGAUUUUUCUGAAUCGAUUCAACGAGACAGAAAUAUUCCCUUUAUUUACUCGCCGAUUUCAUUUACCUUCGCAGAUGUUAUCACGCUCAAUUUUCCCGGCUAAUUUUAUUUAUACC
This is a long non-coding RNA of Apis laboriosa (Himalayan honeybee), 2077 nucleotides long. RefSeq lists it as uncharacterized. Lineage: Eukaryota; Metazoa; Arthropoda; Insecta; Hymenoptera; Apidae. The transcript has 4 exons. The record is from RefSeq and is a predicted model, not a curated record.